Molecule: long non-coding RNA, 556 nt
Filed under: Rattus norvegicus (Norway rat)
Lineage: Eukaryota; Metazoa; Chordata; Mammalia; Rodentia; Muridae
Description: long non-coding RNA NONRATT032624
Source: RNAcentral
ACAUUGAUGUAAAAGAGGAGGGCGGGUGAGCAGAGCCUACUUGUGUUCUCACUCUCUCACUCCCUGUCUCCAGCUCUCAUCCAACAAGCAACUUAGCCGCUGACACACUGCCAGCUGGUCCCAUCAAGUCAGGUGGCAUGGGUCACCCAACAAGCUGCCUGUUGGAAUAGCUGGCUGUUACAUAGCCUGUUAAGAACCAGGCGAACAAGACCACCAAAAUGUGGCAGCUGCUGUCCAGACAAGACACCUUCAGGCAGAGCUGGGUGCAGCCCGGUGACUCGUGCAGACAACAUCUGGGUUUUAGUUGGAAGACGGCCUCUGCAUUGGAUGAAGCUCUUCCCACAGGUAUGGAGUUUUACAAAGGACUUUAUGGAAUAAGAAUCUUACAGCAGGAAUAACGGUCCCAACCUCCUCCUACCGGAUGGGAUAAGGCUGAGGGCACAAAGGUUUCUCUGCUGCCUUAAGAGCUGAUGCUUAAUUGGAAUGAUUUCCAGGCCUUGCCCUUUCCAGCAGCUUCCUCCUCUGUAGGGCAACUAGAAAACAAUCAGCUUUGGGG